This is a long non-coding RNA of Solanum stenotomum, 514 nucleotides long. RefSeq lists it as uncharacterized. The transcript has 2 exons. NCBI's taxonomy places the organism in Eukaryota, Viridiplantae, Streptophyta, Magnoliopsida, Solanales, Solanaceae. The record is from RefSeq and is a predicted model, not a curated record.
CUUCACUGUUAAGUCUCUGUUUUUUCUCUGUUCUCACCACAAAAUUAAUUUAUUAUUCACAAUCUCUUCUUCGUAGAAGGAAAAAAAUGGAAGAACAGUACAAGAACAAGAAGAAGCAAAGUUAUCUUCCUCCACCAAAACGAGGACAAAUAAUGGUGAAAAUUGUUAAUUCUUUGAUUAAAUCUGUAUCGGAAUUUGUUUAUGGUGGAUCGGAAAACAAAAAGGGGAAUGAAAAAACUCCGGGAGGAUCUCCGAUUAGUUUUGAUUCUGAUGGAUCAUAUAUUCAUAUCGAUGAUUAGUGUUUUUUUUUUUUUUGAAGCUGAGGAAUUUUUAUGUAAAUAAUAAUGGGAAAUUCUGUUUCCCCUGUUUUUUUUUUCCUCAUAGCUUCAAGCUUAUAGUAUACCUUUAUUUAUUUAAUUAAAAUUUCUUUAUUUUUAGUUUUUUUUUUUUUAAUUUCAAGAGUGUAUGAUCUAUUGAUUAUAUGAAAUAGAAAUGAGCCUCUUUGUUGUUUAAA